Molecule: ribosomal RNA, 912 nt
Filed under: Thermoascus thermophilus
Lineage: Eukaryota; Fungi; Ascomycota; Eurotiomycetes; Eurotiales; Thermoascaceae
Description: LSU rRNA
Rfam family: Eukaryotic large subunit ribosomal RNA
Source: RNAcentral
GCAUAUCAAUAAGCGGAGGAAAAGAAACCAACAGGGAUUGCCCCAGUAACGGCGAAGUGAAGCGGCAAGAAGCUCAAAUUUGAAAUCUGGCCCCCUCGGGGUCCGAAGUUGUAAUUUGCAGAGGAUGCUUCGGGUGCGGCCCCCGUCUAAGUGCCCUGGAACGGGCCGUCAUAGAGGGUGAGAAUCCCGUCUGGGACGGGUGGCCGCGUCCGUGUGAAGCUCCUUCGACGAGUCGAGUUGUUUGGGAAUGCAGCUCUAAAUGGGUGGUAAAUUUCAUCUAAAGCUAAAUAUUGGCCGGAGACCGAUAGCGCACAAGUAGAGUGAUCGAAAGAUGAAAAGCACUUUGAAAAGAGAGUUAAAUAGCACGUGAAAUUGUUGAAAGGGAAGCGCUUGCGACCAGACUCGCCCGUGGGGGCUCAGCCGGCACUCGUGCCGGUGCACUCCCCCGCGGGCGGGCCAGCGUCGGUUUGGGCGGUCGGUCAAAGGCCCCCGGAAUGUGUCGCCCUUCGGGGCGUCUUAUAGCCGGGGGUGCAAUGCGGCCUGCCCGGACCGAGGAACGCGCUUCGGCACGGACGCUGGCGUAAUGGUCGUAAGCGACCCGUCUUGAAACACGGACCAAGGAGUCUAACAUCUACGCGAGUGUUCGGGUGUUAAACCCGUCCGCGCAGUGAAAGCGAACGGAGGUGGGAGCCCCCUCGCGGGGUGCACCAUCGACCGAUCCUGAUGUCUUCGGAUGGAUUUGAGUAAGAGCGUAGCUGUUGGGACCCGAAAGAUGGUGAACUAUGCCUGAAUAGGGCGAAGCCAGAGGAAACUCUGGUGGAGGCUCGCAGCGGUUCUGACGUGCAAAUCGAUCGUCAAAUUUGGGUAUAGGGGGCGAAAGACUAAUCGAACCAUCUGGUAGCUGGUUCCUGC